Molecule: long non-coding RNA, 635 nt
Organism: Haliotis rubra (blacklip abalone)
Lineage: Eukaryota; Metazoa; Mollusca; Gastropoda; Lepetellida; Haliotidae
Exons: 2
Source: RefSeq, a predicted model, not a curated record
GGAAAAUGCAUUGACCAGAGUAAAGAAAUCAUACUAAUUCAUUUCUCUUGCAAAUAACAAAUAUAAUAUUGGAAAUGAGUGGAUUGGAUCGGAAAUUGGAAAAGGAACACGUACCCCUAGGGGUUGGAUUGAGUUGAAGAAGUAUCAUCUGGCGCCUACCUGUCUGGAGUAAUGUUUUGUUUUGAAUGCUUGACCAUUGACUUAAGCUAAUUACUUAAGCAAUUUUAUACCUGGGAGAAUUUUAUGGUAUCGAUUAAUUCCUGUAAAUGUCAUAAUGGGAUUUUCUUGUUGUUUAGUUGGGAUAUGACUCAUUUUUGUAUGCGGAAGGACAUAAUUUUGGGCCAAAAUUGUCAUCAGUACUAUUUUGUUAGUUGUCCGGUGAGUGGUGCGGACAACUAACCCACCGUUGACUGAAGAGGUUUUCUCUGUAUAUUGAGAGAAUGGUCCAGAUGAAGUAGAAAAUUUAACAGUUUUAUAAGAGAAUCGUCGUUCGUUUUAGAUGUUUUACGUCGGCUUCAGGCUGGGGCCUAUGUCACCCUUCCAGGAAUUCAGGGAAUCUGUGUAGUUGUAUAGAUCAAGUAAUAUGUGAGGACUAUUGUGCCAUAACUAUUCCAAAAUAAGGGAUUUGAACAGCA